GAUGAACGCUGGCGGCGUGCCUAAUACAUGCGAGUCGAGCGAACAGAUGAGGAGCUUGCUCCUCUGACGUUAGCGGCGGACGGGUGAGUAACACGUGGAUAACCUACCUAUAAGACUGGGAUAACUUCGGGAAACCGGAGCUAAUACCGGAUAAUAUAUUGAACCGCAUGGUUCAAUAGUGAAAGACGGUUUUGCUGUCACUUAUAGAUGGAUCCGCGCCGCAUUAGCUAGUUGGUAAGGUAACGGCUUACCAAGGCAACGAUGCGUAGCCGACCUGAGAGGGUGAUCGGCCACACUGGAACUGAGACACGGUCCAGACUCCUACGGGAGGCAGCAGUAGGGAAUCUUCCGCAAUGGGCGAAAGCCUGACGGAGCAACGCCGCGUGAGUGAUGAAGGUCUUCGGAUCGUAAAACUCUGUUAUUAGGGAAGAACAAAUGUGUAAGUAACUAUGCACGUCUGGACGGUACCUAAGCAGAAAGCCACGGCUAACUACGG
Molecule: ribosomal RNA, 496 nt
Filed under: uncultured bacterium
Lineage: Bacteria
Description: partial 16S ribosomal RNA
Rfam family: Bacterial small subunit ribosomal RNA
Source: RNAcentral